GAUGAACGCUGGCGGCGUGCUUAACACAUGCAAGUCGAACGAAGCACUUUACCUGAUUUCCUUCGGGGAUGAUUGUUCUGUGACUGAGUGGCGGACGGGUGAGUAACGCGUGGAUAACCUGCCUCACACAGGGGGAUAACAGUUGGAAACGACUGCUAAUACCGCAUAAGCGCACAGUACCGCAUGGUACAGUGUGAAAAACUCCGGUGGCGUGAGAUGGAUCCGCGUCUGAUUAGCUUGUUGGCGGGGUAACGGCCCACCAAGGCGACGAUCAGUAGCCGGCCUGAGAGGGCGACCGGCCACAUUGGGACUGAGACACGGCCCAGACCCCUACGGGAGGCAGCAGUGGGGAAUAUUGCACAAUGGGGGAAACCCUGAUGCAGCGACGCCGCGUGAGCGAUGAAGUAUUUCGGUAUGUAAAGCUCUAUCAGCAGGGAAGAUAAUGACGGUACCUGACUAAGAAGCUCCGGCUAAAUACGUGCCAGCCGCCGCCGUAA
RNAcentral lists this ribosomal RNA (497 nucleotides) under uncultured bacterium. RNAcentral's name for it is "partial 16S ribosomal RNA". It matches the Rfam family "Bacterial small subunit ribosomal RNA", at positions 28 to 523 of the family's 1533-position model. The record is from RNAcentral.